UGAAUCACUAGGAUGAUCCAUCU
RNAcentral lists this small nuclear RNA (23 nucleotides) under Arabidopsis thaliana (thale cress). RNAcentral's name for it is "snRNA_00632". Lineage: Eukaryota; Viridiplantae; Streptophyta; Magnoliopsida; Brassicales; Brassicaceae. The record is from RNAcentral.